Molecule: ribosomal RNA, 2035 nt
Filed under: metagenome
Description: bacterial LSU rRNA
Rfam family: Bacterial large subunit ribosomal RNA
Source: RNAcentral
GGAGGUUGGCUUAGAAGCAGCCACCCUUGAAAGAGUGCGUAAUAGCUCACUGGUCGAGUGAUCCUGCGCGGACAAUGUAACGGGGCUCAAGUUCAGAGCCGAAGCUAUGGGUUCGUACGUAAGUACGAGCGGUAGAGGAGCGUUGAUGCAGCAGUGAAGCGGCUGUGCAAACAGUCGUGGAGCGGCAUCAAGUGAGAAUGCAGGCAUGAGUAGCGAGAGAGGGGUGAGAAACCCCUCCGCCGAAAGCCCAAGGGUUCCUGGGGAAGGCUAUUCCCCCCAGGGUUAGUCGGGAGCUAAGGCGAGGCCGAAAGGCGUAGUCGAUGCACAACUGGUGAAUAUUCCAGUACCACCGUGUUCGCGUCAGGUCCAAUGGUCGCAACGUCGGGGCUGUUUCCUUCGGGAAGCGAGCCGACCGAGUGUCCGGCGGAUAGCUGAAGGGGGACGCAGGAGGGUAGGUGAACCGGGGCGAUGGUAGUCCCCGGGUAAGCGUGUAGGUGGGCUCCGAUGAGAGUUGGAGCCAUGACACUGAGACGUGAUGCCGAGCCGUUUAGGCGAAGUCACUGAUCCCAUGCUGCCAAGAAAAUCCCAGCAGUGAGUUAGCACGGUGCCCGUACCCCAAACCAACACAGGUGGGCGGGUAGAGAAUACCAAGGCGAUCGGGAGAACUAUGGUUAAGGAACUCGGCAAAUUACCUCCGUAACUUCGGGAGAAGGAGGACCCCUGUUGGUGACGAUCUUCGCGAUCCGAGCUGAUGGGGGUGGCACAGACCAGGGGGUAGCGACUGUUUACCAAAAACACAGCAGCGUGCGAAGCCGCAAGGCGCUGUAUACGCUGUGACGCCUGCCCAAUGCUGGAAGGUCACGGGGAACGGUUAGCUCUUCGGAGCGAAGCUGUGAACCUAAGCCCCAGUGAAUGGCGGCCGUAACUAUAACGGUCCUAAGGUAGCGAAAUUCCUUGUCGGGUAAGUUCCGACCUGCACGAAUGGCGNANUUCCCCGCUGUCUCAAACGUGGACUCAGCGAAAUUGAACUGUCUGNGAUGCACUNCCNAGCGGANUNCACUNCCCAACCAUAGACCCGGCGAAAUUGAAGUACGAGUAAAGAUGCUCGUUAGUUGCGGAAGGACGAAAAGACCCCGUGGACCUUUACUAUAACUUGGUGUUGAGUUUCGAAUGUCGUUGUGUAGGAUAGGUGGGAGACUAGGAAGCGUUGGCGCUAGCCAGUGUGGAGUCAUUGUUGAAAUACCACCCUGCGUCAUUUGGGCCUCUAACCUCGAUCCGUUAUCCGGAUUAGGGACAGCGCCAGGCGGGUAGUUUGACUGGGGCGGUCGCCUCCUAAAAUGUAACGGAGGCGCCCAAAGGUUCCCUCAGGCUGGUUGGCAAUCAGCCGUCGAGUGCAAUGACACAAGGGAGCUUGACUGCGAGACCUACAAGUCAAGCAGGUACGAAAGUAGGGCAUAGUGACCCGGCCAUCACGUGUGGAAGUGUGGUCGCUCAACGGAUAAAAGGUACCCCGGGGAUAACAGGCUAAUCUUCCCCAAGAGUCCAUAUCGACGGGAAGGUUUGGCACCUCGAUGUCGGCUCAUCGCAUCCUGGGGCUGAAGCAGGUCCCAAGGGUUGGGCUGUUCGCCCAUUAAAGCGGUACGCGAGCUGGGUUCAGAACGUCGUGAGACAAUCAUAUCCGGUGUAUGCGCAGGAAUAUUGAGAGGAUUUCUCCCUAGUACGAGAGGACCGGGAGGAACGCACCUCUAUCCUCCGCAACCGAAGGAACAUUGACGAAGGCUGUCCCUAGUACGAGAGGACCGGGACGGACGGAGCUCUGGUGUGUCUGUUGUCCUGCCAAGGGCACGGCAGAUUAGCCACCUCCGGAAGGGAUAACCGCUGAAAGCAUCUAAGUGGGAAACCCGUUCGAAGAUGAGUGUUCCCUUGCGGUUAACGCAGUAAGGCCCGUGGCAAGACCACCACGUUGAUAGGCCGGAAGUGUACGCACAGCAAUGUGUUUAGCUGACCGGUACUAAUCGGCCGAGGGCUUGGAUCU